RNAcentral lists this ribosomal RNA (618 nucleotides) under uncultured Magnaporthaceae. RNAcentral describes it as "eukaryotic LSU rRNA". The stretch from base 258 to 411 matches the Rfam family "5.8S ribosomal RNA". Lineage: Eukaryota; Fungi; Ascomycota; Sordariomycetes; Magnaporthales; Magnaporthaceae. The record is from RNAcentral.
CUUGGCUUUUUUAGAGGAAGAAAAAGUCGUAACAAGGUUUCCGUAGGUGAACCUGCGGAAGGAUCAUUAAUGUAACCGGACCGGUCCUCUGCCGUAAAACGCAGCGGAUGGGAAUGGGAGAUAUCAUACACCCUAUGUUUAUUUACUUUUGUUGCUUUGGCGGGCCGUCCUUCUAGGCGUCGGCCCCGGCUGAUCGCGCCCGCCAGAGGACCCAAACUCUUUUAUCAGUGAUGUCUGAGUACUAUAAUAAUAGUUAAAACUUUCAACAACGGAUCUCUUGGUUCUGGCAUCGAUGAAGAACGCAGCGAAAUGCGAUAAGUAAUGUGAAUUGCAGAAUUCAGUGAAUCAUCGAAUCUUUGAACGCACAUUGCGCCCGCUGGUAUUCCGGCGGGCAUGCCUGUUCGAGCGUCAUUAUGACCAAUCAAGCUCUGCUUGGCCUUGGGGCCCGCUGUACCGGCGGCCCUUAAAAUCAGUGGCGGUGCCGUCUGGCUCUAAGCGUAGUAAUACUUCUCGCUACAGGGUCCAGCCGUCCACCCGCCAGAACCCCCAACUUUCUUAGGUUGACCUCGGAUCAGGUAGGGAUACCCGCUGAACUUAAGCAUAUCAAUAAGCGGAGGA